GAUGAACGCUGGCGGCGUGCUUAACACAUGCCAGUCGAACGAUGAAGCCCAGCUUGCUGGGUGGAUUAGUGGCGAACGGGUGAGUAACACGUGAGUAACCUGCCCUUAACUCUGGGAUAAGCCUGGGAAACUGGGUCUAAUACCGGAUAGGAGCGUCCACCGCAUGGUGGGUGUUGGAAAGAUUUAUCGGUUUUGGAUGGACUCGCGGCCUAUCAGCUUGUUGGUGGGGUAAUGGCUCACCAAGGCGACGACGGGUAGCCGGCCUGAGAGGGUGACCGGCCACACUGGGACUGAGACACGGCCCAGACUCCUACGGGAGGCAGCAGUGGGGAAUAUUGCACAAUGGGCGCAAGCCUGAUGCAGCGACGCCGCGUGAGGGAUGACGGCCUUCGGGUUGUAAACCUCUUUCAGUAGGGAAGAAGCGAAAGUGACGGUACCUGCAGAAGAAGCACCGGCUAACUACGUG
Molecule: ribosomal RNA, 466 nt
Filed under: uncultured bacterium
Lineage: Bacteria
Description: partial 16S ribosomal RNA
Rfam family: Bacterial small subunit ribosomal RNA
Source: RNAcentral